UCAGCACAGCUCAGUACAGCCCCAUAAAACUGCUAUUGCUAGUUGGUAUCAUUAGGCUGUAGCCGACGUAAUAAAAUAGGAGCUUUUAUAUACCUACUCAAAAACGUUUCCUGUAAAUGAACUUAAAGGAUGUGUGCAUGUGUGUGUGCAUGUGUACAGUGGACUUCCA
Molecule: long non-coding RNA, 169 nt
Organism: Octopus sinensis (East Asian common octopus)
Lineage: Eukaryota; Metazoa; Mollusca; Cephalopoda; Octopoda; Octopodidae
Exons: 3
Source: RefSeq, a predicted model, not a curated record